GCCUAAGCUCAUUCUCCCCAUGCCGUUUUAUACCAAUAUGCUAGUAAUUAGAAUAACAUGAUAGUUUAAGAAAUUCCAAUGCAUAAGUGAAAAGAACAUCCUAACAUUUUUUAUGCUCAUUCUAGCUGGAAACAUAUUCUUAAGAAAAGAAACCCCACAUAAUUUCAAGAAAACUAGAACAGCCUUUAACAAGGAACUGCAAAAAUGAACACUGUAUUCUCAUUUUACUUACUUUACUGAAGGUUGCAACAGUGCUCCAUCCUUGGUCCAUGUGUAUGUGACCUCACUGGGACUAACAAGGUCACAGACAAUAUUGAUAACCUCUGUCCUUUUUGUAAUGUAUACUGUGUUUCCAAUCCUCGCAGUUAUUGUUUUAUUGAAUGAAACUGAAGGGGGCUGGCUUUGCCUCACAAGAACGGGUCCUUUGGGCUUAAAUGUCAGCUUGCCUGCACUUUUCACACUUCCACUUUGGGGCGCACUCCCUGUUUGGUCUGUGAGUUGAGCAGAGGGCUGCAGCUCCUCCCUGAGUGCCCCUCCACUGUGGGGGCAUUGGCUGCACCUUCACCAACUCAGCUACCAACUGAUAAAUCACCUGCGAGGCGAAGUCCUCGCUCACCUCCCCAGUCUCCAUGAGCUGACUCAUGUUUCUUAUCAGUUCCUCAAACUGGACCGUAUCCAUGCUAUAUGCUCCCUGUUUGACAGCUGCUUCAAAUUGCUUAUUCUUAAACUCCCAGGAGUUGGUGUUGCCUGCAGGAUUGCUGCAGUGGCCAAACAGAGCUCUGAAGAAAGGCUGGUUAUUAAUUUGACCAUCAGGGAGGUAAAGCUCAUUUUUAUUACUCCACAUCUGCCACAUUUUCUGCCAAGUGGCUCCCAAACUAUUGGCCUCGGGGUGGUCCAUCCUGGGAUGCUCCCUCCCAUGCUGUCUGAGGGCUGGGUGUGCGAUGAGCCGGUUGUCCGUCCCGAUGAGCUUGAGGACAACUGUGUCCUGUGCAGAGCCUGCAAUGCAACCAUACACACCGAUGUCAGGGGCUUCGAGGCUGUGGAUUUUCAGCGAACCUGACUUAGUGAUGCUGAGUCGUUUGGAGUUCUGCAGGCAUUGACCAUCCUUCUCCCACCGGAUCAGAGAUCUCUGGAAUCGUCGCACUGGGCAUUUAAUGAUCACAGAGGUGUUGGGAAGCAAGUAGGCUCUGCUACCAAUGGUCAGAUUGAUCCGCUUCUCUACCCUGGUCCUCAGAUUCUCAGUGUGCAGAGAGUCUACAUUCAGACCAGGGUAGAGAAGCGGA
RNAcentral lists this long non-coding RNA (1283 nucleotides) under Heterocephalus glaber (naked mole-rat). RNAcentral's name for it is "lncRNA (ENSHGLG00000033721.1)". The record is from RNAcentral. Lineage: Eukaryota; Metazoa; Chordata; Mammalia; Rodentia; Bathyergidae.